Molecule: ribosomal RNA, 253 nt
Filed under: uncultured bacterium
Lineage: Bacteria
Description: partial 16S ribosomal RNA
Rfam family: Bacterial small subunit ribosomal RNA
Source: RNAcentral
UACGUAGGGACCGAGCGUUGUCCGGAAUCAUUGGGCGUAAAGAGCGUGUAGGCGGCCACUUAAGUCCUGCGUGAAAUCUUGCGGCUCAACCGCAAGCGGUCGUGGGAAACUGGGUGGCUAGAGUGCGGGAGAGGAGAGUGGAAUUCCUGGUGUAGCGGUGGAAUGCGCAGAUAUCAGGAAGAACACCCGUGGCGAAGGCGCUGCUCUGGGCCGGUACUGACGCUGAGGAGCGAAAGCGUGGGGAGCGAACAGG